UAGGGUUGUUUUAUCGCAGGAACUAAUGCAAGUUUGGCCGAAUUUUACCGAAAACGGCCAACCCGAGGCGGAUCGCCACCGUGAGCGGCAGUGCUGUCGUCGGAGCACGACGGAGCUGCCGUGCCAAAAUUUCGAUAUUAGCCGAAAAGGGGCCCUGGGUCUGAUUUGGGAUUUUUUGGGACACGUGUAGGUACCGGUAGUGCGUUUCAGUUUCCAGGAGAAAAUUCAAGGAAUUUAGGGACAACCCGUAGGCGCACUGUAGAGCCGAUUUCAGACCCCGAAACAAGUAAGGAUCUCUCACCCUAUUUCCUAUCAUGACAUUAAAGCCUAAUAAACGAUAAAAAGGUAUUUUAUGACUUUAUAGAUAUGUAUAAUUGAUUGAGGUUACCAAUGGAGCCCAAAUAUGAUAUAUUGUUGGUUAGUUGUUGUUUGAUCUAUUUUUUCAGUAUUAAAUGCAGUAUGGUAUUUGAUGUAUUUAUUUUAUGGUUUCGUUUGCAUGAAUUGUGGUUUCUUUUA
RNAcentral lists this long non-coding RNA (516 nucleotides) under Carica papaya (papaya). RNAcentral describes it as "long non-coding RNA (CPAP_LNC014268)". Lineage: Eukaryota; Viridiplantae; Streptophyta; Magnoliopsida; Brassicales; Caricaceae. The record is from RNAcentral.